UAGGGAAUCUUCGGCAAUGGACGGAAGUCUGACCGAGCAACGCCGUGUGAGUGAAGAAGGUUUUCGGAUCGUAAAGCUCUGUUGUAAGAGAAGAACGAGUGUGAGAGUGGAAAGUUCACACUGUGACGGUAUCUUACCAGAAAGGGACGGCUAACUACGUGCCAGCAGCCGCGGUAAUACGUAGGUCCCGAGCGUUGUCCGGAUUUAUUGGGCGUAAAGCGAGCGCAGGCGGUUAGAUAAGUCUGAAGUUAAAGGCUGUGGCUUAACCAUAGUACGCUUUGGAAACUGUUUAACUUGAGUGCAAGAGGGGAGAGUGGAAUUCCAUGUGUAGCGGUGAAAUGCGUAGAUAUAUGGAGGAACACCGGUGGCGAAAGCGGCUCUCUGGCUUGUAACUGACGCUGAGGCUCGAAAGCGUGGGGAGCAAACAGGAUUAGAUACCCUGGUAGUCCACGCCGUAAACGAUGAGUGCUAGGUGUUAGACCCUUUCCGGGGUUUAGUGCCGCAGCUAACGCAUUAGGCACUCCGCCUGGGGAGUACGACCGCAAGGUUG
This 550-nucleotide ribosomal RNA is filed under the name uncultured bacterium. RNAcentral's name for it is "bacterial SSU rRNA". It matches the Rfam family "Bacterial small subunit ribosomal RNA", at positions 355 to 896 of the family's 1533-position model. The record is from RNAcentral.